This is an RNA transcript of Phycodurus eques (leafy seadragon), 6877 nucleotides long. It is a transcript of the gene named Kruppel like factor 13, with no coding region annotated. The transcript is spliced from 3 exons. Lineage: Eukaryota; Metazoa; Chordata; Actinopteri; Syngnathiformes; Syngnathidae. The record is from RefSeq and is a predicted model, not a curated record.
UACAGGCUGCAGGGACAGGCGCUCCGAGACCGAGACACUAUGCUCGACAGCGUCCGAAGCAACCAUGGGAGUCGUUCACACUUCCAACUUUAAAGAGUUGCUGCACUGAACGUAGACUUGUUCUUAUUGUUUCGACUCUCCUUUACUCAGGGGACUUUUGUUCGCGUCAAUCCUCAAGCAGGAUGUUGUUACUGACGAGACUCGGAAAGCCCGGCACGAAGAGCAGAAAGUCUCUCUGAUGAGAACCACCUCCUUCUACCCGCCACACAAAGGGAACCACGGAACAAGUUCUUUUCUCCCCCCCCCCCCACGCACCCACGCCAUUUUUUCUUUUUUCUCUUUUUUUGAUGUCAUAGUGGGGGGGCUCUUUGAAAGACAUCAUGGAUCACUUUGCAGCGGAGUGCCUUGUCUCUAUGUCCAGCCGCGCGGUCGUCCACGCUCCGAGGGGCAACAACCGGGAGAUGAAGCCGGAGAACCGGUCGCCUUCCCCCACGAGGAACCCGGAGGACGCCAAAGAACCUGUGGUGAAGGACAACUCCUCUCUGUACGUGGUGGCCAGGAUCCUGGCGGAUUUUAACCAGCAGACUCCCGGCGGCGUGCUCGGCGAGCAGGCGAAGAGCAGGGAGGAGAGCCAGGCCGGCCUGACGGAGGAUGCGAACUGUGCCACACCUACCAUCACCAUCUCGGAUCCGUCGCUCAAACAAAGGGGCAAAAGAUCGAGAGGUCGCAACGAGCCGGAGUCCCCGCAGAAAAAGCACAAAUGCCACUAUUCGGGUUGCGAAAAAGUUUACGGCAAAUCGUCGCACCUCAAGGCGCACUUAAGGACGCACACAGGAGAGCGUCCGUUCCCUUGUACCUGGCCCGACUGCAGUAAGAAGUUCGCCCGCUCCGACGAGCUGGCCCGCCACUACCGCACCCACACGGGAGAAAAGAAGUUCGGCUGCCCACUUUGCGACAAACGCUUCAUGCGAAGCGACCACCUGAUGAAGCACGCCCGGCGCCACUCGGAUUUCCAGCCCGGCAUGCUCAAGAGGCCCCACGGCGGCGGGGUCGGCGGCGGGGCCGGCCACGCCGUGCGUCCCGGCUCCCUCAGCGACUACAGCCGCUCGGACGCCUCCAGCCCCACCCUCAGCCCCGCCCUCAGUCCCGCUCUCAGCCCCGCCAACUCGCCUUAAAGUAAACAUCGCACUUUCUGCCUCCAAUGCGUCGAGGCGUGUGUACUUGUCAUGAUAACACUUGUGUUGUUGCACACUUGUCAGCGGCGACUCCCGUCUUUCCUAAUCCUACGCUUGCUCUGGUGUACCAUACUGUACAGAACUGCUUAUUGUAGUGCAAUGACAUGUGAUCCUAUAAGAAGGUAAUGCCUUUCCCAGAUGGCAAUAUUUACAUUGUCGACCAUAAGUCUCGAUAUUUCUUCUAAUCGUGACUAGUCUGUUUGCAGCAUCUAAACACAACUUAUAAGACAAAAGAUGCCCUGAUGAGUCUUAUCAAAAUGUUUGUCUUUCAUUGUUCUUUUUCCUUUAAAAAAAAAAAAAAAAAAAAAAAACGGGUCAUGAGAAAGGGUACACACACGCACACACUCAAAAAACACACACCUCAGGAUGGAAGACAGUUUCGCUUAAUACCACAAUACUUCACACAAACUGCACAAUAAACUCAACACUUUAAAGUUCAACCGCUGGUUGAAUUUUUCGCCCUGCUCAGGGAUGGCCUUGUUAGCUUGAACGAAUGGAGAGAAACAGUCAGUCCACACACAUACACAGUAUGUCUAUAUAUGUAUAGCAUAUAUAGACAUGUAUAUACAUAUGUAUCAGCCUUACACUCAACACACUAUUGCACUCUUUCUUUUAUUUCAGCUUCACUUCCUCCUUAAUAAGAAUCAUAAAAAAAACAAAAAACAAUUUAAAACCUCUUUCACACAGAGAUGGCGCAAAACGAGAGCCGUAACAGUUAUUCGUCUAUGCCUUCUUACACGAAACCCAACAAAGGGGUGUUCGCCACAACCGUGUGCGUUUUGACAUGUCGCCUCUGUAUCCCACAAUCAGAUAAUUAAAUGUGAGACUUCAGCGCCGGCGCCUGGUGUAAAAUAUUUGUUUGACAGCGACAAUAGCUGAAGCGAACUGUUAUGGCUCUGAUACCACUUUCGGGAAAUUGGAGUGUCAGUCUUUUUUUUUUUUAAAGAACAGCGAUGCAGAAAAAUGUCGGCUUUCAAAGCUACUACCCCUGUUCCUGCAGCAGCCACUCUCUAGGUGGACAUUUAUUGCGGCAAACGCCCAGAAUUGGGUUAUAAAGAUACGUUUCAAAGCAGCUGUUUAAAUAAAUAUGGACACAAAGGGACGGCAAUGUGUAUCCCUCACACAAGCACGUCGGGACAAUAAAGUACCAAGGACUAGAAUUGAAUAAGUGAGGUCCGGGGAUGAUUUGGAGCUUGCAAAUAUCCCACAAGAAGCGUCAGGAAGGUUAGCAUGCCACCCAUCUGGCUCUACCUGUCCUGUCAAGACGUCAAGUCUUGUCUCGAUGCUUUCCUUGCUGUCAGCUUUAAAGGAACUCGGAGGUUAAACAAAGUCCAAAGUGCCGGUGGAGCUAUCUGCAAUGUUCAGACGGGAGAAGGCACGUCCUGAUAAAACAAGAGGAGAGGUUUAUCACGACAUGAGCAGAGGAGGAGACACCCUCGUUUCCUGCUUAUGCAAACGACCCAACCAGGAGGGAACAACAGUACUACUUAGUUUCCCAACCUUUAUUGAGCUGAGGCGCAUGCACUAGUCAAAAAAAAAGGUCGGGAUAUUCGACUUUCGGGUAAAAUUUCAAGAUGAACCUAAAAUGCACUACAACCUUUACAGGUGAUCGUAAGUACUCAAACAUUGAACGGUCGGACAUCAAGUUCAACGGUAAGGUCCAAGUGGAUUUAUUUGGUUCAUCCUAAAAUUUCACCAGAAAGCACAAUAUCUUUUUAUGGGUAGUGGAUGUUAUAUUAGAAAAAUGUCACUCUACACCACCACAAAAGGAAUCUACAGUAUGGGAAGCCUUAACAUUUAAGAGCGAGCCUGCAUAUGUGUUGCAGAUAUCUGUAAUUAAGUUUCGCCUAAUCAAAAACAACAUUUGAGAUAUUCGUAACGACAUUCUUCCUUUCCCCAAUUAGCAUUUCAGAUACCUGCAACGACAUUUGACCUCGGACAAAUGAUGUCAACCGUGCCAUUCAUGUGUAUGGGCGUUGCCAUUACAGAUAUCCACAAUUGAUUUGGAGAUAUCUGCUUUGUGAAUUGCGUAUCUCUGCAACAGAAUUGUAAAUAUCUCUAACUCCAGUUUGAGAUAGCUACGGUUUGAUUCUGACUGGUCAUAAUUUCAUCUUCAAUUCACCCCAGUUCAAGAUAUCCAUAUAUGUUCUCUCCGUAUAUAUAUUACAUCAAAAUUUCACCAGGCAAAAUGAAGUGGUAGAUAUCUGUGACUGGAAUGAUGACGAGUUGGAAUCUAAUUGUAGCUACAGUAUCGCAAAAAGGAGUUAGCGAUAUCUACAGUUCAAAUGCAGAUAUCUGUAAUUGACGCGUGGCUAGUGGCGGCUGAAUAGUCGAUAUCUGUAAUGAGAAACUCCCAUUACACAUGAAUGGCAAAAGUGACAUUGCAGAUAUCUGUAAUUCAGUUUUGACUCAGCAAAAAUGAAUUAGAUGUCUUUGUCAUUACGACUAGUCACAAUUCUGAUGCAGAGAUCUUGAGUGAAAAUUCCAACUAUUCAAAAUGUUAUUAUGAAUAUUCAGAAGGAUGUUGUUGAUAUGUUCAAUGCUAAUUUGGGUCACUCAGAUUUUAAAUGUUGAUUCUGCUGGCCACGCAGUACAGUAUACUGAAAUUAUGACGAUCUAGUCUUUUUUUUUUUUUAUUCACACUUGGUGUGACAGCUGGGCCUCUUGAGUUAACAGCUAUUACUCUGUUGUAUAAGGUGGAUACACAGGUCAGGACAGUUGUCCCUUCUGCCAUCAUGUGCAAGAGCAUUAAUUGUUCUGCCUCUCACUAUAUGUCACUGGCAAAGAUAGAUCAGCUACGAUACAUUAUUUGUAGUCAAUAAAUCCUGAUUUCCCAACCAUGUGGUGUGAUUGCAGAAUUUCCUGUGGCACACUUGUUGAUCUCGAGUGGUUGGAAAUGACUGAGGAUGAAAUCACCUUUGCCACAAGCAAGAGCAGGGACAAAUUUCACACUAUUAAAACAGCUGCUUUCAAACGCCUCUGAGCAAAAGGAAAUAUCAUCGGGCUGUCGUGCCGCCUGCGACGCUCCCGCCCGUGAGAAAGUCCACUUGUGUUUCUAGAAGCACAUACCACAAUAAGUCAGGCAAAAAAAUAACUUCCAUGGAAAUGAGCACCGCUUAUGCAAACUGGUACAGUCUGCAUCCUCGUGCUUGGAAAUACAGAGCCAUCCAUGUUGCUUUGAUCCCAUCGCAUCCAUCCAGACGGUUGCCAUGGCGAGUGGCGUGUACUCUCUUCAGCCCUCUCCCCUGGCGCCACGCGCAUGUUAACAACUCUGGCAGGUGUACACCCAUGAAUGGCGGGCCUUAUCCCCCUCUCGCCCCCGCCCUAGCAGCCAUCUUUCUUUUCAACGAAGCAGCUCUGUCAAAUCCCCCUCAAGACAAAACAUCCCUUAGAUCAGGGAUGCAGCGAUCCCCUUCAACAAAACUAUUUUUCAAGUAGCAGGAUGACACUUUUAGUGAGAGAAACCACUGAGACAAAAUGUUUUCAAUUCUCUCGCAACUUCUUAUUUUACGUUUGAUCCCAGCUACUUCUGCCGUCUAGGAUGAUCAGCCCUCCCAUUAAAAUCCUACCACUGUCGUUUUAUCUACAUGCCGAUUACAUCCCACCAUACGUGUUUGCAUUGAAAGUCGUUAUCACAGAGUACAAGUGCGCGUUAUCUGUACCGUCGCGGCGUGGAAGGGCAAGAGUGAGUGUGUGUGUGUUCAACCACGCCCUCUUUUCUCUGUUGGCAGCUAAUCAUGUCCUCCCUCGCGUCUCUUUGCCACCGCCUGCUCGUCUCAGACGGGGAAGUCCUUUGUCUCCUCACACGAAAGAUACACACCAUACACACGCUAAUCAGAAGGGCAGAAGUCGCAGGAGGUCUGAGAUGUUGCAAGAAGUGGACCCUGAUGACAGCUGACGAACUGAAAACAAGUCAGGCUCUUGACAACACAAGCAAGAGUACCUGCGUCACCCACUCUUGGGCCGCGCUCAUCACCAACAGCCAGAUGGGGCGUGGGCACAGCAGCAACAUCUAGAAGUGUCUAAGCAUGAACUAUAAAUGUAAGGUCCGAGAGGCAGAGGCGCGCUUUCACCCUGUCUAUUAGUGACAGGGGAAAACUUUCGGGCAGGGAAAAAAGGCCCCGGAAUUCCGUGUGUGUGUGUGUGUCUUGUUAUCAUGCUGAGCUCUGGGACAUAAAUACAGACCAAAUUGCAAUGACUGUGAGUUCAUUCUUUGGUUAUCUUUCAUUGGAAAAGCAACGAACACGCAGCGGAAGUUGUGGUGUUCAAUAAGGGUAAGGAUUAGACGCACACUUCCAACAAUGGAUGGAGUAAAUUGAGUUCUGGAAUGACUUAAACUCAAAAGUCAAGCUGCCACAGUAUUCGAUGUAUGUCAUUUUUGAAACCAUCAACUGAAAGUCUUCAGAAGUGGUCUGAUCCGGUUCUGAACCAAAGUCAACAUCUGUGUGCAAGGCUUGUAAAAAAUAUGAUCCAAAAUACUCCUAAUAUUCCUAAAAAAAAAAGUGCAGGUCAAAGUGUAUCAGACAGCACGGAGUAGCAGUGAAAGAGCACAAUGGAAUUAAAGGCGAAUCCAAACAGCUUGACUCCAUUCACUGCAUGGAGAACGAGGGGGGUGGGGUGUCCAGGGGGGUUCACAAGGGCCCCGCGUUGAAGCUGGAACCGCUUCACACUUCAGUUCAUAUGCUAACACACACACACAUGCUUUGUUCCUGGCCCCGUGUUGGACCCCCUCAGUGGGGGCAUGCUUGUUACACCAGAACUAGACCAGGACCUCUGCGGGUACAUUUGAAGGCCAUGGCGGCCACUUUCCAACAGGAAGUGCCACUCUGAUGUCAUCAAAUAUACAAACCCCAAUUCCACUGAAGUUGGGCCAUCAUGGUCACUGGUCAAUGAAAAGCACAUACUGUAUCUCCAAAUUACUGUCUGGGGGAAAAAAUUGCAUACCUCGAAAUAUUUGGGAGAGGAUGAAAGGACAAAACUUGUAGAAUAGUAGGAAAAUCUAUGAAUGUAUAUAUUUUCAUCCCCCGCCGCCAAAAUACCUAAACAUGAGACUUCUUCUGUUUUUUUAUGCAAAAGUAUGAUGAACCUCUCCCCCAAAAAUCUAACUGUCCAUUGGUUGAACAGUGACAACGUAUCUAUUAAACGAGGACCGAUACCAGUAUUAGUCUUAGUAUCGGGCCGAUACCGGCCUUAUUUCAAAGUAUCUGGUUCUCGUGAAAUCUGACAUUGAGUAACUCCUCCUCGCCAGUACUUGGCGCUACACUGCGGUGGUUUGACGUAUCUGCGAAUCAUCAUGUGCGUCACAAAGAAAGGUCCAUCCAUCCAUCCAUCCCUUUUUUUACACCGCUUAUCCUCAGAAAGAAAGGUCUUUGUUCACAAUUAUGUCAUUGUGUUAACUGAAAUUGUAUGUAUCAAAUCUCCUACAUAUCAAACAUCCCUGUUGGAAUACAGCUCUGGGAAAAUGUAACUAUCGGCGAAUUUGCUCUUUCAAUGUACGUUUGAGUGGACAUUUUGCUUUUAUUCUAAAAAAUAAAUAAAUAGAGUACAUAGGUACAGAGAAUGGAUACUUGAAUGAAAAAUGGUCAAAAUACUCAAAAACAUUUCGUUUUUCUGGGGUGGGGUGGUUCUCAAUAUUUUAAUAU